This is a long non-coding RNA of Lolium perenne, 1870 nucleotides long. RefSeq lists it as uncharacterized. NCBI's taxonomy places the organism in Eukaryota, Viridiplantae, Streptophyta, Magnoliopsida, Poales, Poaceae. The record is from RefSeq and is a predicted model, not a curated record.
ACUAUUAAAUGGGAGUUGGUCGUUUGACACUCAACGCACUUUGGUGGUCGUCAUUGAAAAGAUCCUGGCCGUUCAAUCUAAGUCAAAGUCUCCGCUUAAAAUUCAUCCGUUCGAUCAACUUUCCACUGUAAGUUGCCCCUCUUUCCCUUUGUUGCCGCUAAUCAAGAUAUAAAUAAUCAAUGCAAAUUAAGUAGGAGAUAUAUUGUCAGAAAAAGAGAGAUUAUAAUCUGAUGAAAAGCUAUCCAUCAAUCACGGAAUACCAUCAAUUAUGCGAAUAUUAAUCGCAACAAAUCAUUUGGAAAGAAAUCACAAAUAAUAACGACAAUAACAUGGAAAGCUAUUCUCUCUUGGGCUGCUACGUACUUCCUUGUAAACGCUAAUCGAGCACCAAAUCGGAUCUCACCAGAAAAAUCCACCAAAUCAUCACACGUCUGGCCCAAUGCAUCAACGAACAUUAUGAUCUUCACCAUCGGCCGCCCGAAUAGUGGAUAGCCCCGCCGCCUCCUGCUGCUUCCCGACGGGAACUUCCCGUCCGUCCAGGAGCUCUUCGUCUCUCUCAACCUCCUCUUCCUCUCCAUCUUCCGCUAACUCUAUGCUGGUAAUAACAUGCACUCUGGCCAUGCCACCGAUGCAGGAUCACCUCCAACUUCCCCUACACGGGGGUGGCGACCGACGAGGAUGACGUACGACAGUGAUGAGGAGGGAUGUAGGAUCAAGCUGCCGUCGAUGCUUACCUCCUCCUCCUGGGCGCAGCAGCUCCGGAACCUCGAUCUGGCACGUAGCCACGGUCGCCGAAAUCGGACAGGUCGGUAGAGGUCUGGAUACCCCAACAAUACAUGUCAUAAUGUAGAUUGGAUCACCUCCAUCGGUCAUUUAUCUCGCAGGGUAUUGUAAUCAAUAUCAUCAUGUAGCCAAAAUAAGUAAUUUUACUUCUUUAAGAUUACAUGGUUUUCUGAAUUUCUUGGGCUUCCAGCUUCCUCCCGUCAAGAUGAAAUCUCGUUGUAUGGCAAGGACCCUACCCUUCAUCCUGGUGGUGUUUGGCUAGGCUUCAGCAAUCAAAGGAACUAGGAUCGCUUUGCAUCUGGACGACGGUGACACUGAGGUGCUAGCCACACAGAUCGUUCAAGCACAUCAGAAUAACCUACAACGGGUUUCAGUAUUCUACCAAAUCAUGGCCCUUGAGCAGAAAUAAAUAUAAAACGAGAGAAGAUGCCAGGCACCGAAUAUGGAGGCAUCAUGAUACAUCAUUGGUCAUUUCCAUCUUUUAUGUGUGAUUUUUGAUUGUCGUUGUCAUUCUCAGUGUAUAGCUUAUCCGCUGACAUGUGUUAUCAUUAAAAACCUUUAUUUUAGGUGUACUCUUUCAUUGACAAACCCUUAAAGGUUUCCAACCGUAGUUUCUUCUGCUGAACUUUCAUGUUGUGUGGAUUGUUGCAACGAGAUUCUCCGACAGGUGUCACCGCCUCCAUCAGAGUUUUGUAGAGUGUUAUAUGUACAAGCAGCCGGAGAUGAGAGGAAAAUGCACUGCAUGAAGAGGAAUUGGGUUCAUUGGAGCUCGGGAGAAGGAUGAUGUGUCAUGGUCAAGCAUAUAAUCUGGUCAUCUUCUUGCCACGUGCAGGGGGGGCUUGAUGUCAAGAUACCUUACCGAGGUGCAGACUUUUGUAGCAACACACAUACGUUGACACAAGGAUACACGACGUGGUACAUUUUAAUCAAAAUCUGUAUGUAUCUUAGCAGCACAUAUGUCACUUGAGAUUUGAGGAAUUUUUUUGUGGUCACAUAGUGGGAAAUGGUAGGUGCGUCAUGUUUGGCAUUCAUAGUUGUAAAGCAGUCAACUAUUUGAGUAAUUUAUCUUCAUAUAAUUGUUUAUGCA